AACGAACGCUGGCGGCAUGCCUAACACAUGCAAGUCGAACGAGACCUUCGGGUCUAGUUGCUCACGGGUGCGUAACGCGUGGGAACCUGCCCUUAGGUUCGGAAUACCUCCCCGAAAGUGGUGCUAAUACCGGAUAAUGUCUUCGGACCAAAGCUUUAUCGCCUUUGGAUGGGCCCGCGUUGGAUUAGCUAGUUGGUAGGGUAAAAGCCUACCAAGGCGAAGAUCCAUAGCUGGUCUGAGAGGAUGAUCAGCCACACUGGGACUGAGACACGGCCCAGACUCCUACGGGAGGCAGCAGUGGGGAAUAUUGGACAAUGGGCGAAAGCCUGAGCCAGCAAUGCCGCGUGAGUGAUGAAGGCCUUAGGGUUGUAAAGCGCUUUUACCCGGGAUGAUAAUGACAGUACCGGGAGAAUAAGCUCCGGCUAACUCCGUG
Molecule: ribosomal RNA, 433 nt
Filed under: uncultured bacterium
Lineage: Bacteria
Description: partial 16S ribosomal RNA
Rfam family: Bacterial small subunit ribosomal RNA
Source: RNAcentral